Molecule: ribosomal RNA, 532 nt
Filed under: Colletotrichum viniferum
Lineage: Eukaryota; Fungi; Ascomycota; Sordariomycetes; Glomerellales; Glomerellaceae
Description: partial large subunit ribosomal RNA
Rfam family: Eukaryotic large subunit ribosomal RNA
Source: RNAcentral
GAUGAAGCGGCAACAGCUCAAAUUUGAAAUCUGGCCCCAGGCCCGAGUUGUAAUUUGCAGAGGAUGCUUUUGGUGCGGUGCCUUCCAAGUUCCCUAGAACGGGACGCCAGAGAGGGUGAGAGCCCCGUACAGUUGGACACCAAGCCUUUGUAAAGCUCCUUCGACGAGUCGAGUAGUUUGGGAAUGCUGCUCAAAAUGGGAGGUAUAUUUCUUCUAAAGCUAAAUACCGGCCAGAGACCGAUAGCGCACAAGUAGAGUGAUCGAAAGAUGAAAAGCACUUUGAAAAGAGGGUUAAACAGCACGUGAAAUUGUUAAAAGGGAAGCGCUUGUGACCAGACUUGCGUCCGGUGAAUCACCCAGCUCUCGCGGCUGGGGCACUUCGCCGGCUCAGGCCAGCAUCAGCUCGCUGUCGGGGACAAAAGCUUCGGGAACGUAGCUCUCUUCGGGGAGUGUUAUAGCCUGUUGCAUAAUACCCUUCGGCGGGCUGAGGUACGCGCUCCGCAAGGAUGCUGGCAUAAUGGUCAUCAGCGAC